RNAcentral lists this ribosomal RNA (329 nucleotides) under uncultured eukaryote. RNAcentral's name for it is "partial 18S ribosomal RNA". It matches the Rfam family "Eukaryotic small subunit ribosomal RNA", at positions 1470 to 1796 of the family's 1831-position model. The record is from RNAcentral.
CCCUUAGAUGUUCUGGGCCGCACGCGCGCUACACUGACGAUGGCAACGAGUUUUUCCUUCGCCGAAAGGUGUGGGUAAUCUUUUGAAACAUCGUCGUGCUGGGGAUAGAUCAUUGCAAUUUUUGAUCUUGAACGAGGAAUUCCUAGUAAGCGCGAGUCAUCAGCUCGCGUUGAUUACGUCCCUGCCCUUUGUACACACCGCCCGUCGCUACCACCGAUUGAAUGGUUUAGUGAGGACUCCUGAUUGGCGCCGCCGCCCCGGCAACGGAGCAGCGGACUGCCGAAAAGUUGUUCAAACUUGAUCAUUUAGAGGAAGUAAAAGUCGUAACA